UACGUAGGUGGCAAGCGUUGUCCGGAAUUAUUGGGCGUAAAGCGCGCGCAGGCGGUCCUUUAAGUCUGAUGUGAAAGCCCACGGCUCAACCGUGGAGGGUCAUUGGAAACUGGGGGACUUGAGUACGGAAGAGGAAAGCGGAAUUCCCAGUGUAGCGGUGAAAUGCGUAGAUAUUGGGAGGAACACCGGUGGCGAAGGCGGCUUUCUGGUCCGAAACUGACACUGAGAUGCGAAAGCCAGGGGAGCAAACGGG
This 253-nucleotide ribosomal RNA is filed under the name uncultured bacterium. Its description in RNAcentral is "partial 16S ribosomal RNA". It matches the Rfam family "Bacterial small subunit ribosomal RNA", at positions 524 to 776 of the family's 1533-position model. The record is from RNAcentral.